Molecule: transfer-messenger RNA, 242 nt
Filed under: Paenibacillus agri
Lineage: Bacteria; Bacillati; Bacillota; Bacilli; Caryophanales; Paenibacillaceae
Rfam family: transfer-messenger RNA
About the family: Bacterial tmRNA, also known as 10Sa RNA or SsrA, is named for its dual tRNA and mRNA-like properties.
Source: Rfam by way of RNAcentral
GGGGCCGUUCUUGGAUUCGACGGGGGUAGUUCGAGCAUGAGCAGCGAGUAGUGGGGACGCGUCCGCUUCAUCAACGCUAAAGCCUAUUAAACGGCAAACAACAAAACAACUACGCUUUCGCAGCUUAAUAACCUGUGUGCGUGCUUCUACCCUGCAUCGCCCAUGUGACAGGGAUAGGGGCUAACAAGUAGUGGGAUACGCCGCUUGGUCUCCGCCUGGGGUCAACGGAAGAAGAUAAUCAG